GACGAACGCUGGCGGCGCGCUUUAUACAUGCAAGUCGAACGAGAAGCCAGAGCUUGCUCUGGUGGAAAGUGGCGAACGGGUGAGUAACACGUGAGAAACCUGCCCCAAAGACUGGGAUAAGCCGAGGAAACUUGGUCUAAUACCGGAUACCUUCUUUUUAUCACAUGUUAAAAAGAAGAAAUGCUCCGGCGCUUUGGGAUGGUCUCGCGACCUAUCAGCUUGUUAGUGAGGUAAAAGCUCACCAAGGCAUCGACGGGUAGCUGGUCUGAGAGGAUGUCCAGCCACAUUGGGACUGAGAUACGGCCCAAACUCCUACGGGAGGCAGCAGUAGGGAAUCUUGCACAAUGAGGGAAACCUUGAUGCAGCGACGCCGCGUGCGGGACGAAGGCCCUAGGUUGUAAACCGCUUUCAGUAGGGACGAAAGUGAACGGUACCUAC
Molecule: ribosomal RNA, 438 nt
Filed under: uncultured bacterium
Lineage: Bacteria
Description: bacterial SSU rRNA
Rfam family: Bacterial small subunit ribosomal RNA
Source: RNAcentral